GGCCGGUAGAAGGGGCUGGGCUCCUCGCGGGCUGCAAACCCGCCGGGCAUCCCGAACGGGUUGCCGCUCGGUUCGAUUCCGAGACCGGUCUCCA
RNAcentral lists this transfer RNA (94 nucleotides) under Acidobacteriota bacterium. RNAcentral's name for it is "Acidobacteria bacterium (bioreactor metagenome) tRNA-Cys". The record is from RNAcentral. Lineage: Bacteria; Pseudomonadati; Acidobacteriota.